UUCAAAUGAUAUGCUAUUAAAUACUAGAUUUGAUAAUAUCACAUUUAGUGGUCCUAAUUAAUUAAGAAAAUACCCCAAAUUUAUAUUGACAUAAAUCUUAAUAGAGGCUACAUUGACAAUAAGUGGAAACCCUCUUAAUGAUACAAUUAAUUUUUGCGAAUUAAGUUCAUUGAUAUGGUGAGAUAUUUUUUAUCAUAUUUGAGUGAGAUGGAAAUGAAUAGUGUCUAGCUACAAGUCUAUAUAUAGAGAUACAAUCUUGAAUACUUCUGGACGCUCAAACAGAAACGGGAAUAAGAAGUUUGUAUCUGACCUUAUGGAGUCGAAAGCCAUUCUUCUUUGCCUCAUGUUGAUUCUGCAGCUAGGAAACUCCAUUCAUGUUGAGCAGUGCAGGCAGGAAGCUUCUUUUACGAGCCCCAAUUGCACAAAAGCAACUUGCCAAAGUGCUUGCCAGAAGUCGUGGGGAGAUGACGUCCUGCAUGUGGUAUGUAGGAUCACAGGCAUAACCUUGGAAACUUGUUACUGCAUCGUAUGUGCCUAGAGUUGCACUAAACCAUCAUGUAAGGCAAUGAAUAUUGAUGUGAUCCGGUAAUAAAGUCCUUUCGCAACAUGCUUGCGAUAAACUACA
This is a long non-coding RNA of Aegilops tauschii subsp. strangulata, 625 nucleotides long. RefSeq lists it as uncharacterized. NCBI's taxonomy places the organism in Eukaryota, Viridiplantae, Streptophyta, Magnoliopsida, Poales, Poaceae. The record is from RefSeq and is a predicted model, not a curated record.